GGUACCUGAGGAAUCAGCAUCGGCUAACUCCGUGCCAGCAACCACGGUAAGACGGAGGAUGCAAGCGUUAUCCGGAAUUACUGGCUUUAAAGGGUGCGUAGGCGGCUUAUUAAGUCUGUGGUGAAAGCCUGCAGCUUAACUGUGGAAGUGCCGUUGAUACUGAUNAGCUUGAGUACGGUAGAGGUAAACGGAAUUCCUGGUGUAGCGGUGAAAUGCAUAGAUAUUAUGGAGAACACCAAUGGCGAAGGCAGCUUACUGGGCCGUUACUGACGCUGAGGGACGAAAGCGUGGGGAGCGAACAGGAUUAGAUACCCUGGUAGUCCUCGCUGUAAACGAUGNUUACUCGGUGUUGGAUG
This 356-nucleotide ribosomal RNA is filed under the name uncultured Bacteroidota bacterium. Its description in RNAcentral is "bacterial SSU rRNA". It matches the Rfam family "Bacterial small subunit ribosomal RNA", at positions 474 to 829 of the family's 1533-position model. Lineage: Bacteria; Pseudomonadati; Bacteroidota. The record is from RNAcentral.